RNAcentral lists this ribosomal RNA (787 nucleotides) under Staphylococcus aureus. Its description in RNAcentral is "partial 23S ribosomal RNA". It matches the Rfam family "Bacterial large subunit ribosomal RNA", at positions 260 to 1045 of the family's 2925-position model. The record is from RNAcentral. Lineage: Bacteria; Bacillati; Bacillota; Bacilli; Caryophanales; Staphylococcaceae.
GGGAAGAGCCCAAACCAACAAGCUUGCUUGUUGGGGUUGUAGGACACUCUAUACGGAGUUACAAAGGACGACAUUAGACGAAUCAUCUGGAAAGAUGAAUCAAAGAAGGUAAUAAUCCUGUAGUCGAAAAUGUUGUCUCUCUUGAGUGGAUCCUGAGUACGACGGAGCACGUGAAAUUCCGUCGGAAUCUGGGAGGACCAUCUCCUAAGGCUAAAUACUCUCUAGUGACCGAUAGUGAACCAGUACCGUGAGGGAAAGGUGAAAAGCACCCCGGAAGGGGAGUGAAAUAGAACCUGAAACCGUGUGCUUACAAGUAGUCAGAGCCCGUUAAUGGGUGAUGGCGUGCCUUUUGUAGAAUGAACCGGCGAGUUACGAUUUGAUGCAAGGUUAAGCAGUAAAUGUGGAGCCGUAGCGAAAGCGAGUCUGAAUAGGGCGUUUAGUAUUUGGUCGUAGACCCGAAACCAGGUGAUCUACCCUUGGUCAGGUUGAAGUUCAGGUAACACUGAAUGGAGGACCGAACCGACUUACGUUGAAAAGUGAGCGGAUGAACUGAGGGUAGCGGAGAAAUUCCAAUCGAACCUGGAGAUAGCUGGUUCUCUCCGAAAUAGCUUUAGGGCUAGCCUCAAGUGAUGAUUAUUGGAGGUAGAGCACUGUUUGGACGAGGGGCCCCUCUCGGGUUACCGAAUUCAGACAAACUCCGAAUGCCAAUUAAUUUAACUUGGGAGUCAGAACAUGGGUGAUAAGGUCCGUGUUCGAAAGGGAAACAGCCCAGACCACCAGCUAAGGU